AUGGGAACGCGAAGAACCUUACCUAGACUUGACAUCUUCUGCAUUAAUCGUAAUGGAUGAAAUCCCUUCGGGGACAGAAUGACAGGUGGUGCAUGGUUGUCGUCAGCUCGUGUCGUGAGAUGUUGGGUUAAGUCCCGCAACGAGCGCAACCCCGUAUUACUAGUUGCUAACAUUAAGUUAAGCACUCUAGUGAGACUGCCCGGGUUAACCGGGGUAGGAAGGUGGGGUAUGACGUCAAAUCAUCAUGCCCCGUUAUGUCUAGGGCUACACACGUGCUACAAUGGUGGGAACAAAGAGAUGCAAUACCGCAAGGUGGAGCUAAACUCAAAACCCCGAUCCCAGUUCGGAUUGUAGGCUGAAACUCGCCUACAUGAAGCUGGAGUUGCUAGUAAUCGCGAAUCAGAAUGUCGCGGUGAAUACGUUCCCGGGUUC
RNAcentral lists this ribosomal RNA (432 nucleotides) under uncultured bacterium. RNAcentral's name for it is "bacterial SSU rRNA". It matches the Rfam family "Bacterial small subunit ribosomal RNA", at positions 954 to 1378 of the family's 1533-position model. The record is from RNAcentral.